Molecule: ribosomal RNA, 468 nt
Filed under: uncultured bacterium
Lineage: Bacteria
Description: partial 16S ribosomal RNA
Rfam family: Bacterial small subunit ribosomal RNA
Source: RNAcentral
GACGAACGCUGGCGGCGGGCUUAACACAUGCAAGUCGAACGGAAACGCCCUGCUUUUGUGGUGUGCUCGAGUGGCGAACGGGUGCGUAACACGUGAGUAACCUGCCCUUGACUUUGGUAUAACUUCAGGAAACUGGGGCUAAUACCGUAUAGGAGCUCCUGCUCCAUGGUGGGGGUUGGAAAUUUUCGGCGGUUGGGGAUGGACUCGCGGCUUAUCAGCUUGUUGGUGGGGUAGUGGCUUACCAAGGCUUUGAAGGGUAGCCGGCCUGAGAGGGUGACCGGCGACAUUGGGACUGAGAUACGGCCCAGACUCCUACGGGAGGCAGCAGGGGGGAAUAUUGCACAAUGGGCGGAAGCCUGAUGCAGCAACGCCGCGUGCGGGAUGACGGCCUUCGGGUUGUAAACCGCUUUCGCCUGUGACGAAGCGUGAGUGACGGUAAUGGGUAAAGAAGCACCGGCUAACUACGUG